Oncorhynchus masou masou (cherry salmon) is the source of this 1231-nucleotide long non-coding RNA. RefSeq lists it as uncharacterized. The transcript has 3 exons. The record is from RefSeq and is a predicted model, not a curated record. NCBI's taxonomy places the organism in Eukaryota, Metazoa, Chordata, Actinopteri, Salmoniformes, Salmonidae.
UCUCUGUUGAUCUCUGCAUUCGGGACUAAGAACAGGAGAAAGUCCUUUAGAGAAACGAGUUGACCUUUUGAACCCUGUUUUGUAUGUGCUGACACUCGCUUGUUAUGGAGGAAUUAGGAGUUCCUGGCUUGCUGCUCGAUCAGUCCCUCAGCACAGCUCCCACUUUGGCUCCACCCAGCCUUCCUGACCCAGACGUGCCAGUGCUGCUCAUCGUGUGUGUAACCCUUGCUGUGGUUUUGGUGGUGGUUUUUCUGGGGAUCUACUAUGGCUUCCAACGCCACAGGUAGUAUCAACCCUAGAGGGUGUCUCACACACAGGACAGUCAAUGGACCUAUUCAAAUACCCUUCAAAUGUAUUCGUACUUCUUUCCAAGAGGAAAUCACUGAUCUGACACAUUGAUUGAAGCAAUGGGGAACGCAUGUUUUCACGUAUCCACUCUUGUACUGAUCAGUGAUUACCACAGUGAAGGGAGGAAAGAAAGCAUCCAUUUUAGAGGUAUUCACUCACUGCACAGAUAUAACCUACAUGGUUGUAAGUCUCCUCUUUGUUUCCAUCAGUGCUCAGAAAAACACCACUGACACCACCAGAAGAAAUGGGUACAUUUAAAAAAAAAAUGUUUUUAACCUUUAUUUAACUAGGCAAGUCAGUUAAGAACAAAUUCUUAUUUUCAAUGAUGGCCUAGGAACAGUGGGUUAACUCCCUGUUCAGGGGCAGAAUGACGGAUUUGUACCUUGUCAGCUCGGGGAUUUGAACUUGCAACCAACUUACUAGUCCAAUGCUCCAUGAGGAUGAAUCCCGAAGUAAGACUUAAAUCCUUCUAUUUCAAUUCAAUUUUUAACGCAUGUCUCUCUUUGCAGGGACUGGCUGGAACAUCGACGUGUUUGUCUGCACAAGAUGUGCAUCUGCAUGCAAAUGUAUUGGCUGAAGCCUAGUAGUAACGUAGGUUGUAUUCCAAAUGGUAUCAUAUUCCCUAUUUUGUGAGAGAAAUUUGACCAGAGCCCUAUGGGUCCUGGUCAAAAUGAGUGUACUAUAAAGGGAAUAGGGUGCCAUUUGGAACACAACCCUAAUUUCAACAAUGUCUGGAGUUGAGUAUCACAUCAGUCUGUCUGCAAUAAACAUUUUGAGCAGCAAAAUCAGACAGGAGUUUUUAUGUAUUGUGACUCCACUAGGGGGAGCCAAACGUGCAAGAGAGACUUCAGGGGCCUCAUCGAUUAGAACCAUUUCCUUUGCC